This 301-nucleotide ribosomal RNA is filed under the name uncultured bacterium. Its description in RNAcentral is "partial 16S ribosomal RNA". It matches the Rfam family "Bacterial small subunit ribosomal RNA", at positions 509 to 807 of the family's 1533-position model. The record is from RNAcentral.
CAGCCGCCGCGGUAAUACGGAGGGUGCAAGCGUUAAUCGGAAUUACUGGGCGUAAAGCGUGCGUAGGCGGUUCGUUAAGUCUGUUGUGAAAGCCCCGGGCUCAACCUGGGAAUGGCAAUGGAUACUGGCGAGCUAGAGUGUGUCAGAGGAUGGUGGAAUUCCCGGUGUAGCGGUGAAAUGCGUGGAGAUCGGGAGGAACAUCAGUGGCGAAGGCGGCCAUCUGGGACAACACUGACGCUGAGGCACGAAAGCGUGGGGAGCAAACAGGAUUAGAUACCCCCGUAGUCCCUGUCUCUUAUAC